RNAcentral lists this microRNA precursor (162 nucleotides) under Pelobates cultripes (western spadefoot toad). Lineage: Eukaryota; Metazoa; Chordata; Amphibia; Anura; Pelobatidae. The record is from RNAcentral.
CAGCAGACACAUUCCAGCCAAUCAGCAGCAGACCCUCCCUCCCAGACCCUGCCACCUCCUGGACAGCAUUCAUUUUGAAGCUGCAUUCUUAGUGAGCUGUCCAGGAGGUGGGAGGGUCUGGGAGGGAGGGUCUUCUGCUGAUUGGCUGGAAUGUGUCUGCUG